RNAcentral lists this long non-coding RNA (527 nucleotides) under Brassica napus (rape). Its description in RNAcentral is "long non-coding RNA (BNAP_LNC010406)". The record is from RNAcentral. Lineage: Eukaryota; Viridiplantae; Streptophyta; Magnoliopsida; Brassicales; Brassicaceae.
UGGUGUGACUCAAUAUGUGAUUUUAGCUAUACACAAGACCUUCUCUCAACGACAAAACAUGUUAGAGAUUAGAGAUUCCAAGAGCUUUUCACAUACACAAAAUGCCAUUGAAUUCAGGUAGUUUGGUAAUUGUGUCAACUAAUUUAUUCUCAGAUGCAACAUGUUCAAUGACACCAAGUUUUUCCUCAAUCAAUUCUAUAACAGGAUGAUGUCUAAUUUCUAUUUGCUUAGUCAAUGAUAAUUGAACAUGAUUCACGAUUAUGCAGAUGACAUUCAAGUUAUUGCAUUGAACAUCAAAAGGGUCAAAAAGACUACCAGACUCAAUGAGUGUCGAUGUCUUCCCCAAGACACAGUUAAAUAGAUUUCUCAAGUCUGUUUAUUCAAAUUUAGCAAGGUAAACUGACGCCUUGUUCCACAUGUCUUCUUCCACGUAGAAAGUCUGAUUAACAUUGCGAGAUCCUUUCACAUAUUUGAUUGUAUGCUCAACAACCACUAUGUGUGAUCCUCCCGAACCAGCUUGAAUGCUC